Molecule: ribosomal RNA, 1581 nt
Filed under: Triticum aestivum (bread wheat)
Lineage: Eukaryota; Viridiplantae; Streptophyta; Magnoliopsida; Poales; Poaceae
Description: partial small subunit ribosomal RNA
Source: RNAcentral
AUGCACGGACGUUUGACGCCGGGGACGGAGCGAGGCAGAGCCGUGGCUCGACAUGUUGCCGGCGUCCUGAUCCGUGGAUCAGAUCCGGCGCUCUCCGGUAACGGCGGCACUGCCUGCAGCAGCAGGACUCUGCUAGAAGAGGUCAACGAGAACAACAUGAACUUGGAGCCUCUUCAUUACCCUGUGACGACGACGCCGGUGGUGGAGUUGCCGGCCUGCACGGCGUCAAUCGCCAACGACCAGAUUUGCGCUGAGGGCGCUGUUCCAAGGGCAGGCAGUGCAGAUAACCUCAAGCUUCAGAGCACUACAUCGAGCAGGGUCCGGGUUGGGGCCUCUGCGCUAGGCAGAGCCCCAUGUGCUGAUAGGAUUUCAGCGCUGGAGAAAAUUGUUCAAAGGAUUUCUGCACUGGAGAAAUCAAUCCCGGGUUUUGCUGAAAAUCCUGGGCACAAUGUCAUUGUACCAAAAUUAGGAACAAGCUUUGAUGAACUAGUGGAGAAUACCAAAAUUAGAAAUCCUGGGUUCUGUGUUAACAAGGGAAAGGCAUUAGUGGAGAAUACUCGGUCCUGCUGUUGUGAGUGCCCUGCUCUCACAAGGCUGUUGCAUUCAAAGGACACUGGUUGGUACACAGCGGAGCAUCGUGAGGAGCACAACCAUUCGCUCCAACUUAUGGGCAGACUUUUUUUUGGGUCGAUGGAAAAUGUACCAUUCACAGAAAGAGCUCUAAGGAACUUGUGUGGCAAGAUAAACCAUGAGCAAGCAGAGUAUGACGUUAGGAAAACAAAGGAGGUGUUUCAUGAGCUUGGUUCAAAAGAUCCGCAUUUCACAUAUCGUGUUCAAACUGACAAAAGGGGGAUCAGCAGACUGAUGUGGGCUAAUGGGAAGAACAUAUUACAGUAUACCUUCUUUGCAGAUGUUAUGAACCAGAUUCAACCAGAAUGUGCUAUGAGGAAGGAGAUGGGAAGGCCUACAAGCAGAGAGAAGGCGUUGUACGAGGGUUUGAGCAUAAGGACAAGAUUCAGCACCAUUUGUCGGCAUCAGGGGCAUAAGCAGACAACCUGUCCAGAUCGCCGAGAGAUGUCCCAAAGCAAGUUCGGAGACCAGCACGCUGCAAGAAUUGUGGAGUUGAAGGUCACCGUCGCAACAACUGCCACAAAGCAGCGGAACUUAUUAGACUCAAUAAAGCAUGAGCAGACCAAGACGGGUGCUUCUGAUCUCAGGCGUUUGAGUCGUUGUAUAGAGAAACACUUACCUAUGUUGCCUGAUCUGACGGCCCUAGCCAUGCAUUCAAAUUUUGAACUCCAUGAGUGGGAGGAUUGUGAAGGCUGUACCAUGGUUCGCGUAGCUGAAGUGAGGUUCUUGUGCAGCUGUUUACAAGGAGACUCUAUGGCUCUAUCGCCGGAUCGGCAGUCACGCGAACUGAAUAAUACUCUAGAGGAGGACGGUGAAGCUUUAGAGGCGUCGUCCGUGAAUCAAGGGAAGCCAUCUGAGGUGGCGAGGAGUUCAUUUUCUAGUCUUUCUUCUGUGCCUGACGAUGGGAUCGAUGCUGGAGAUGUUGAUGUAGGGAGCGUGCGGUGGUUUUAG